AUUGAACGCUGGCGGCAGGCCUAACACAUGCAAGUCGAGCGGAGCGGCGGACGGGUGAGUAAUGCCUAGGAAUCUGCCUGGUAGUGGGGGAUAACGUCCGGAAACGGGCGCUAAUACUGCAUACUAUCAGAUGAGCCUAGGGGGGAUUAGCUUGAUGGCGGGGCAAAGGCCUACAAAGGCGACGCUCCGUAACUGGUCUGAGAGGAUGAUCAGUCACCGUGGAACUGAGACACGGUCCAGACUCCUACGGGAGGCAGCAGUGGGGAAUAUUGCACAAUGGGCGCAAGCCUGAUGCAGCCAUGCCGCGUGUGGGAAGAAGGCCGUCGGGUUGUAAAGCACUUUCAGCGGGGAGGCGUUACCCGCAGAAGAAGCACCGGCUAACUCCGUGCCAGCAGCCGCGGUAAUAC
This 407-nucleotide ribosomal RNA is filed under the name uncultured bacterium. RNAcentral describes it as "partial 16S ribosomal RNA". It matches the Rfam family "Bacterial small subunit ribosomal RNA", at positions 29 to 526 of the family's 1533-position model. The record is from RNAcentral.